AGUGGGGAAUAUUGGACAAUGGGCGAAAGCCUGAUCCAGCCAUGCCGCGUGAGUGAUGAAGGCCCUAGGGUUGUAAAGCUCUUUCACCGGUGAAGAUAAUGACGGUAACCGGAGAAGAAGCCCCGGCUAACUUCGUGCCAGCAGCCGCGGUAAUACGAAGGGGGCUAGCGUUGUUCGGAAUUACUGGGCGUAAAGCGCACGUAGGCGGACUAUUAAGUCAGGGGUGAAAUCCCGGGGCUCAACCCCGGAACUGCCUUUGAUACUGGUAGUCUCGAGUCCGGAAGAGGUGAGUGGAACUCCGAGUGUAGAGGUGAAAUUCGUAGAUAUUCGGAAGAACACCAGUGGCGAAGGCGGCUCACUGGUCCGGUACUGACGCUGAGGUGCGAAAGCGUGGGGAGCAAA
Molecule: ribosomal RNA, 402 nt
Filed under: uncultured Ensifer sp.
Lineage: Bacteria; Pseudomonadati; Pseudomonadota; Alphaproteobacteria; Hyphomicrobiales; Rhizobiaceae
Description: bacterial SSU rRNA
Rfam family: Bacterial small subunit ribosomal RNA
Source: RNAcentral